UUGGGGAGGGGGGGUGCGACACGGCUCGGGCCCGCCAGUGCCCCAACGGGGCCCUAGUUAUUAUUAUUAUCAUUAUUUUUCCUCCGCUUUAAACUGGAAAAUGGCCCACUUCCCACUGGCGAAAACUCAUGAAAUUUGGCAGGACGACCGGGCCUGGUGAAAAAUUCGAUAUUCUGAAGUCGCCCAAACAAUAAAAUGCAAAAUGGCUCCAUAGCGCCCCCUAAGGUGAAAAUUCACACUAUUGACUGUCACGCCUUUACGCUUUGUCAUAUUGACACAAAAAUUGACACACACAUGUAUCUCAAUAAGAUCUACAAAAAAGUCAGUGCGGGCGUAUCUGUCAAAUGUACGGUUAAAGGGUUAUUUCGCAUUUUUUGCCGAUCCGCACACAUUGGAAUUUCGCUAACUCCUCCGAAGGCUUUCGUUCCAACGGCACCACAUUUGCUCAGGCCAAUCUACACCCCAUGGCCAUUAAAAGUUGUACAAAUCAUGACGCUGCACCCCACGGUUUACGUUCUAGAGGGCGCCAAAGAUAACCCAAAAAUCCACAGUCUAAAAAGUCUUAUAACUUUUUAUUUUUGUCCUCACUGGCCUCCAAGUUCUCUAGGAUGAUGCAAUGUCCAGCCAUCAACACAUUUGUGAAGGAAUUUUUACUCCCCAAAAGAGCGCCCCCCAAUGGCAGGAGAAAAAAGUCCAUUUUUCUUGUCUCCUAAGGCGAAAAUACACAUUGUUGACUGUCACGCCUUUACGCUUUGCCAAAAUGACACAAAAAUUGACACACACAUGUAUCUCAAUACGAUCUAUGAAAAAGUCAAUGCGAGCGUAUCUGUUCAAUGUACGGUUAAAGGGCUAUUUUGCAUUUUUUGCCGAUUCGCACACAUUGGAAUGUGGCUAACUCCUCCUAAGGCUUUCAUCCCACUGACACCAAAUUUGCUCAGGUCAAUCUACACCCCAUGGCCAUUCAAAGUUGUACAAAUCAUGACGCUGCACCCCACGGUUUACGUUCAAGGGGGCGCCAAAGAGGCCCCAAAUAUCCACAUUUUUAGAAGUCUUAUAACUCUUUAUUUUUGUCCUCACUGGCCUCCAAGUUUUCUAGGAUGAUGCAAUGUCCAGCCAUCAACACAUUUGUGAGGGAAUUUUUACUCCCCAAAAGAGCGCCUCCCCAUGGCAGGAGAAAAAGUCAAGUUUUUCCUGCCCAUCGCUCAAUGGCUCAAGCGCAUCGCUUUCUCGGCAAAACGGAAAGGAGGAGCAACUUGCCAUUUGGAUAUAUACUAGCUGUGUUUGUGCCCUCACUCAUGGUCCAGACUUUUUUCAAAAAGGACAUGGAGUUUGUCUGCAGCGAGCGUUUUGGUAGAAACUGCGCCUCCCAUUCAUUAUAAUGGUAAAUGACCACAGACAAGUGCGCACACCAUCUUUGGACCUUGAGUGUGACGCGAUCGGGAGGGGUAGGCGGUCGCGCUGGGGGCGGCGCGACACGGCUCGGGCCCGCCAGUGCCCCAACGGGGCCCUAGUUCUUUCUUUCUUUCUUUCUUCUUAUUUUUCCUCCCCUUUGAAGGGGAAAAUGGCCCACUUCCCACUGGCGAAAACUCAUGAAAUUUGACAGGACGACCGGGCCUGGUGAAAAAUUCGAUAUUCUGAAGUCGCCCAAACAAUAAAAUGCAAAAUGGCUCCAUAGCACCCCCUAAGGUGAAAAUUCACACUAUUGACUGUCACGCCUGUGCGCUUUGUCAUAUUGACACAAAAAUUGACACACACAUGUAUCUCAAUAAGAUCUACAAAAAAGUCAGUGCGGCCGUAUCUGUCAAAUGUACGGUUAAAGGGUUAUUUCGCAUUUUUUGCCGAUCCGCACACAUUGGAAUUUCGCUAACUCCUCCGAAGGCUUUCGUUCCACCGGCACCACAUUUGCUCAGGCCAAUCUACACCCCGUGGCCAUUAAAAGUUAUCAAAAUCAUGACGCUGCACCCCAAGGUUUAGGUUCUAGGGGGCGCCAAAGAUAACACUAAAAUCCACAUAUUUAAAAGUCUUAUAACUUUUUAUUUUUGUCCUCACUGGCCUCCAAGUUUUCUAGGAUAAUGCAAUGUCCAGCCAUCAACACAUUUGUGAAGGAAUUUUUACUCCCCAAAAGAGCGCCCCCCCAUGGCAGGAGAAAAAAGUCCAUUUUUUCUUGUCCCCUAAGGUGAAAAAACACAUUGUUGAAUGUCACGCCUAUACGCUUUGUCAAAAUGACACAAAAAUUGACAAUCAUGUGUAUCUCAAUAAGAUCUACGAAAAAGUCAAUGGGCACGUAUCUGUAAAAUGUACGGUUAAAGGGCUACUUCGCAUUGUUUGCCGAUUCGCACACAUUGGAAUGUGGCUAACUCCUCCUAAGGCUUUCGUCCCACCGACACCAAAUUUGCUCAAGCCGAUCUACAUCCCAUGGCCAUUCAAAGUUGUAAAAAUCAUGACGCUGCACCCCACGGUUUACGUUCUAGGGGGCGCCAAAGAUGACCCAAAUAUCCACAUUCUUAAUAGAAUCCACAUCCCCCCCCCCCCCCCCCCCAAGGCAGGAGAAAAAGUCAAGUUAACCCUGCCCAUCGCUCAAUGGCUCAAUCGCCUCGCUCUCCCGGCAACACCGUAAGGAGGAGCAACUUGCCAUUUGGAUAUAUCCUAGCUGUGUUUGUGCCCUCACUCAUGGUCCAGACUUUUUUCAAAUAGGACAUGUAGUUUGUCUGCAGCGACCGUUUUGGUAGAAACUGCGCCUCCCAUUCAUUAUAAUGGGAAAUGACCACAGACAAGAGUGCACACCAUCUUUGGACCUUGGGUGUGACGUGAUCGGGAGGGGGAGGCGGUGGCGCUGGGGGCGGCGCGACGCGGCUCGGGCCCGACAGUGCCCCACCGGGGCCCUAGUUAUUUUUCUGCCCCUUUGAACUGGAAAAUGGCCCACUUCCCAAUGGUGAAAACUCAUGAAAUUUGGCAGGACGACCGGGCCUGGUGAAAAAUUCGAUAUUCUGAAGUCGGCCAAACAAUCAAAUGCAAAAUGGCUCCAUAGCGCCCCCUAAGGUGAAAAAUUCACUUGAUUGAGUGUCACACCUGUACGCUUUGUCAAAAUGACACAAAAUUUGACACACACGUGUAUCUCAAUAAGAUCUACAAAAAAGUCAGUGCGGGCGUAUCUGUCAAAUGUAUGGUUAAAGGGCUAUUUCGCAUUUUUUGCCGAUCCGCACACAGUGGAAUUUCGCUAACUCCUCCGAAGGCUUUCGUUCCACCGGCACCAAAUUUGCUCAGGCCAAUCUACACCCCAUGGCCAUUAAAAGUUGUACAAAUCAUGACGCUGCACCCCACGGUUUACGUUCUAGGGGGCGCCAAAUAUAACCCAAAAAUCCACAGUCUUAAAAGUCUUAUAACUUUUUAUUUUUGUCCUCACUGGCCUCCAAGUUUUCUAGGAUGAUGCAAUGUCCAGCCAUCAACACAUUUGUGAAGGAAUUUUUACUCCCCAAAAGAGCGCCCCCCCUUGGCAGGAGAAAAAAGUCCAUUUUUUCUUGUCCCAUAAGGUGAAAAUACACAUUGUUGAGUGUCACGCCUGUACACUUUGUCAUAUUGAAACAAAAUUUGACAAUCACGUGUAUCUCAAUAAGAUCUACGAAAAAGUCAAUGCGCAUGUAUCUGUAAAAUGUACGGUUAAAGGGCUAUUACGCAUUUUUGAUCGAUUCGCACACAUUGGAAUGUAGCUAACUCCUCCUAAAGCUUUCGUUCCACCGGCACCAAAUUUGCUCAGGCCAAUCUACACCCCAUGGCCAUUAAAAGUUGUACAAAUCAUGACGCUGCACCCCACGGUUUACGUUCUAGGGGGCACCAAAGAUAACCCAAAAAUCCACAUUAUGAAAAGUCUUAUAACUUUUCAUUUUUGUCCUCACUGGCUUCCAAGUUUUCUAGGAUGAUGCAAUGUCUAGCCAUCAACACAUUUGUGAAGGAAUUUUUACUCCCCAAAAGAGCGCCCCCCCAUGGCAGGAGAAAAAGUCAAGUUUUUCCUGCCCAUCGCUCAAUGGCUCACACUAUUCACACUAUUGAUUGUCACAGCUGUACGCUUUGUCAUAUUGACACAAAAAUUGACACACACAUGUAUCUCAAAAGAUCUACAAAAAAGUCAGUGCAGGCCUUUCUGUCAAAUUUACGGUUAAAGGGUUAUUUCGCAUUUUUUGCCGAUCCACACACCUCGGAAUUUCGCUAACUCCUCUGAAGGCUUUCGUUCCAUCAGCACAACAUUUGCUCAGGUCAAUCUACACCCCAUGGCUAUUAAAAGUUAUUCAAAUCAUGACGCUGCACCCCACGGUUUAGGUUCUAGGGGGCGCCAAAGAUAACCCAAAAAUCCACAUAUUUAAAAGUCUUAUAACUUUUUAUUUUUGUCCCCACUGGCCUCCAAGUUUUCUAGGAUGAUGCAAUGUCCAGCCAUCAACACAUUUGUGAAGGAAUUUUUACUCCCCAAAAGAGCGCCCCCACAUGGCAGGAGAAAAAAGUCCAUUUUUUCUUGUCGCCUAAGGUGAAAAUUCACAUUGUUGAGUGUGACACCUGCAUGCUUUGUCAUAUUGACACAAAAUUUGACAAUCACGUGUAUCUCAAUAUGAUCUACGAAAAAGUCAAUGCGCGCGUAUCUGUAAAAUGUACGGUUAAAGGGUUAUUUCGCAUUUUUUGCCGAUCCACACACAUCGGAAUUUCGCUAACUCCUCUGAAGGCUUUCGUUCCAUCAGCACAACAUUUGCUCAGGUCAAUCUACACCCCAUGGCCAUUAAAAGUUAUUCAAAUCAUGACGCUGCACCCCACGGUUUAGGUUCUAGGGGGCGCCAAAGAUGACCCAAAAAUCCACAUUCUUAAAAGAAUCCACAUCCCCCCCCCCCCCCCCCCCCCAUGGCAGGAGAAAAAGUCAAGUUUUUCCUGCCCAUCGCUCAAUGACUCAAUCGCAUCGCUCUCCAGGCAACACCGUAAGGAGGAGCAACCUGCCAUUUGGAUAUAUCCUAGCUGUGUUUGUGCCCUCACUCAUGGUCCAGACUUUUUUCAAAUAGGACGUGUAGUUUGUCUGCAGCGACCGUUUUGGUAGAAACUGCGCCUCCCAUUCAUUAUAAUGGGAAAUGACCACAGACAAGUGCGCACACCAUCUUUGGACCUUGAGUGUGACGCGAUCGGGAGGGGGAGGUGGUCGCACUGGGGGGCGGCGCGACGCGGCUCGGGCCCGACAGUGCCCCACCGGGGCCCUAGUUUCUUUUUCCUCCCCUUUGAACUGGAAAAUGGCCCACUUCCCACUGGCGAAAACUCAUGAAAUUUGGCAGGACGACCGGGCCUGGUGAAAAAUUUGAUAUUCUGAAGUCGCCCAAACAAUAAAAUGCAAAAUGGCUCCAUAGCGCCCCCUAAGAUGAAAAUUCACACUAUUGAUUGUCACGGCUGUACGCUUUGUCAUAUUGACACAAAAAUUGACACACACAUGUAUCUCAAUAAGAUCUACAAAAAAGUCAGUGCGGGCCUUUCUGUCAAAUUUACGGUUAAAGGGUUAUUUCGCAUUUUUUGCCGAUCCACACACAUCGGAAUUUCGCUAACUCCUCUGAAGACUUUCGUUCCAUUGGCACAACAUUUGCUCAGGUCAAUCUACACCCCAUGGCCAUUAAAAGUUAUUCAAAUCAUGACGCUGCACCCCACGGUUUAGGUUCUAGGGGGCGCCAAAGAUAACCCUAAAAUCCACAUAUUUAAAAGUCUUAUAACUUUUUAUUUUUGUCCCCACUGGCCUCCAAGUUUUCUAGGAUGAUGCAAUGUCCAGCCGUCAACACAUUUGUGAAGGAAUUUUUACUCCCCAAAAGAGCGCCCCCACAUGGCAGGAGAAAAAAGUCCAUUUUUUCUUGUCCCCUAAGGUGAAAAUACACAUUGUUGAGUGUCACGCCUAUACGCUUUGUCAUAUUGACCCAAAAUUUGACAUACACGUGUAUCUCAAUAAGAUCUACGAAAAAGUCAAUGGGCACGUAUCUGUAAAAUGUACGGUUAAAGGGUUAUUUCGCAUUUUUUCCCGAUCCGCACACAUUGGAAUUUCGCUAACUC
Non-coding RNA from Xyrichtys novacula (pearly razorfish), 6057 nucleotides. Lineage: Eukaryota; Metazoa; Chordata; Actinopteri; Labriformes; Labridae. The record is from the annotation of a GenBank genome assembly.